UUUGGAUCAUCAUCGAUUUAUUCAAACAACUAUUUGAUGAUACUCUUCAAAUUUUUCAUUGGCUUUUCUUAUAGGAUUGAAGCUGAAGUCACUAUAUAUUUAGAUUAACCAAAUCUUUUUCCAUUAUUUUAUUUCAUAAUAUUGUGGAUAUUACAUUGUAUAUGUGCUAAAACUUUCCGGUAAAAAAAAAAAGUGCUAAAACUACAACCGUUUUUAUGUUCU
This 222-nucleotide long non-coding RNA is filed under the name Trifolium pratense (red clover). Its description in RNAcentral is "long non-coding RNA (TPRA_LNC007395)". The record is from RNAcentral. Lineage: Eukaryota; Viridiplantae; Streptophyta; Magnoliopsida; Fabales; Fabaceae.